This 935-nucleotide ribosomal RNA is filed under the name uncultured bacterium. RNAcentral's name for it is "bacterial SSU rRNA". It matches the Rfam family "Bacterial small subunit ribosomal RNA", at positions 8 to 916 of the family's 1533-position model. The record is from RNAcentral.
AGAGUUUGAUCAUGGCUCAGAACGAACGCUGGCGGCGUGGAUUAGGCAUGCAAGUCGCACGUGAAAAGGGGGCUUGCUCCCUUAGUAAAGUGGCGAACGGGUGAGUAACGCGUGAGAAACCUGCCUUGUAGAGGGGAAUAACAGUCCCAACGGAUUGCUAAUACCGCAUGAGCUCGAUGGAUCGCAUGGUUCGUCGAGGAAAGGUGGCCUCUGCUCGCAAGCUAUCGCUACAAGAGGGUCUCGCGUCCGAUUAGCUAGUUGGCGGUGUAAAAGACCACCAAGGCGACGAUCGGUAGCUGGUCUGAGAGGAUGGUCAGCCACACUGGGACUGAGAUACGGCCCAGACUCCUACGGGAGGCAGCAGUCGAGAGGCUUCGGCAAUGGGGGAAACCCUGACCGAGCGACGCCGCGUGGAGGAUGAAGGCCCUUGGGUUGUAAACUCCUUUCGUGGGGGAAGAAUGUAUUCGGGGUAAAUAAUCCCGAGUAUUGACGGUACCCCAAGAAGAAGCUCCGGCUAACUCCGUGCCAGCAGCCGCGGUAAUACGGGGGGAGCAAGCGUUGUUCGGAAUCACUGGGCGUAAAGGGAGUCUAGGCGGUUUGGUAAGUGGGAUGUGAAAUGCCCGGGCUCACCCCGGGACCUGCAUCCCAAACUGCUGAGCUUGAGUACAGGAGAGGGUGGGGGAAUUCCAGGUGUAGCGGUGAAAUGCGUAGAUAUCUGGAGGAACACCGGUGGCGAAGGCGCCCACCUGGCCUGCUACUGACGCUGAAGCUCGAAAGCUAGGGGAGCAAACGGGAUUAGAUACCCCGGUAGUCCUAGCCGUAAACGGUGAUCACUAGGUGUUGGGAGCAUCGACCCUUCCAGUGCCGCAGCUAACGCAUUAAGUGAUCCGCCUGGGGAGUACGGCCGCAAGGUUGAAACUCAAAGGAAUUGACGG